Molecule: ribosomal RNA, 501 nt
Filed under: uncultured bacterium
Lineage: Bacteria
Description: partial 16S ribosomal RNA
Rfam family: Bacterial small subunit ribosomal RNA
Source: RNAcentral
AUUGAACGCUGGCGGCAGGCUUAACACAUGCAAGUUGAGCGGGGGAAGGUAGCUUGCUACCGGACCUAGCGGCGGACGGGUGAGUAAUGCUUAGGAAUCUGCCUAUUAGUGGGGGACAACAUCUCGAAAGGGAUGCUAAUACCGCAUACGUCCUACGGGAGAAAGCAGGGGAUCUUCGGACCUUGCGCUAAUAGAUGAGCCUAAGUCGGAUUAGCUAGUUGGUGGGGUAAAGGCCUACCAAGGCGACGAUCUGUAGCGGGUCUGAGAGGAUGAUCCGCCACACUGGGACUGAGACACGGCCCAGACUCCUACGGGAGGCAGCAGUGGGGAAUAUUGGACAAUGGGGGGAACCCUGAUCCAGCCAUGCCGCGUGUGUGAAGAAGGCCUUAUGGUUGUAAAGCACUUCAAGCGAGGAGGAGGCUACUCUAGUUAAUACCUAGGGAUAGUGGACGUUACUCGCAGAAUAAGCACCGGCUAACUCUGUGCCAGCCGCCGCGGUAA